AAGACUCUACUUUCAGGGAUCAUUUCUUUAGUUUGGAACUAGAGGAUUGUGUUUCUACAGAGGAUGGUCUUGCUGUCCAUGAUGAUGAAGGAAGAUGUUUCCUUCAGAGCAGGAAGCUGGUGAGAAGAUGAGAAUCUUCUUCACUGAUGAAGACUGUUCAGUGUUUCUGGAUGUGACACUGAAGGAGAAAACAUUGUCUGAGUGGA
Molecule: small nucleolar RNA, 206 nt
Filed under: Oryzias latipes (Japanese medaka)
Lineage: Eukaryota; Metazoa; Chordata; Actinopteri; Beloniformes; Adrianichthyidae
Description: Small nucleolar RNA U3 (ENSORLG00000027103.1)
Rfam family: Small nucleolar RNA U3
About the family: Small nucleolar RNAs (snoRNAs) are involved in the processing and modification of rRNA in the nucleolus. There are two main classes of snoRNAs: the box C/D class, and the box H/ACA class. U3 snoRNA is a member of the box C/D class.
Source: Rfam by way of RNAcentral